UUCUGAAUCUGAGAUUAGACAAGGCUACCCGCUGAAUUUAAGCAUAUAAUUAAGCGGAGGAAAAGAAACUAACUAGGAUUCCCUCAGUAAUGGCGAAUGAACAGGGAAAAGCACAACAUGAAAAUCGGUGGCUUGCCUUCCGAAUUGUAGUCUCUAAAGGAAAGACCAGGAUCGGCGCAGGGGUAAGUCUCUUGGAAAAGAGCGUCAUAGAGGGUGAGAAUCCCGUCCAUACUCUGCAGUCCUUUCCGUACGGCUUUCUGUUAACGAGUCGCGUUCCUUGGGAUUGGAGCGUAAAGUGGGUGGUAAAUUUCAUCUAAUGCUAAAUAUUGGCGAGAGACCGAUAGCGAACAAGUACUGUGAAGGAAAGAUGAAAAGAACUUUGAAAAGAGAGUUAAAAGUGCCUGAAAUUGCUGGUAGGGAAGCGAAUAGAAUUGUACUUUCCGUAGAGAUUAUGGGUUACGAAAGCGAUACUGCUCCUUAUACCGCAAGUGUAAGUAGUAGGUGUAGCCCAAGUGAUCCAUUACUCUCUGCGGGAUUGUCAGCAUCAGUUGCGAGUGCAAGAUAACCGACAAGGAGGUUAAACCUUCCGGGGUUGUUAAGCCUUGUUGCGACCUUGCGCACGCUCCUGAGGAAUGCAGGCUGGAUUUCACUCUCGAGUAUUCCUGUCCUUCAGAUGCUGGCUAAGCGAUUCUAUCCGACCCGUCUUGAAACACGGACCAAGGAGUCUAACAUAUGUGCGAGUAUGCGGGCGGUAAACCUGUAUGCGCAAUGAAAGUAAAAGUUGGGAAAUUUGCACCAACGACCGACCACGAUCUUCGGAGAGAGGUUUGAGUAAGAGCACAUC
RNAcentral lists this ribosomal RNA (844 nucleotides) under uncultured fungus. RNAcentral's name for it is "eukaryotic LSU rRNA". It matches the Rfam family "Eukaryotic large subunit ribosomal RNA", at positions 1 to 806 of the family's 3401-position model. The record is from RNAcentral. Lineage: Eukaryota; Fungi.